GGAUGAUAUGAUGAGGAAAUGUUGGUUUGAUUUCCAAGAUGAUUGCGUAUACCUUGUUAUUAGCUCUAUCUGAUCUUCC
Molecule: small nucleolar RNA, 79 nt
Organism: Tripterygium wilfordii
Lineage: Eukaryota; Viridiplantae; Streptophyta; Magnoliopsida; Celastrales; Celastraceae
Product: small nucleolar RNA Z102/R77
Exons: 1
Source: RefSeq, a predicted model, not a curated record